UUUACCUACGGGACGCAGCAGUGAGGAAUAUUGGUCAAUGGGCGGGAGCCUGAACCAGCCAAGUCGCGUGAGGGAAGACGGUCCUAUGGAUUGUAAACCUCUUUAGGCGGGGAGCAAUGCCGGGCACGUGUGCCCGGAGGGAGAGUACCCGCAGAAUAAGCAUCGGCUAACUCCGUGCCAGCAGCCGCGGUAAUACGGAGGAUGCGAGCGUUAUCCGGAUUUAUUGGGUUUAAAGUGUGCGUAGUCGGAUUUUUAAUUC
Molecule: ribosomal RNA, 259 nt
Filed under: uncultured bacterium
Lineage: Bacteria
Description: partial 16S ribosomal RNA
Rfam family: Bacterial small subunit ribosomal RNA
Source: RNAcentral